RNAcentral lists this unclassified non-coding RNA (2636 nucleotides) under Drosophila ananassae. RNAcentral describes it as "GF14676". The record is from RNAcentral. Lineage: Eukaryota; Metazoa; Arthropoda; Insecta; Diptera; Drosophilidae.
AAACAAUAAGGAAUGAAGUUGGAUUAAUAUUUAAAUGGCCGUUACUUCGUCCAAAUUAAACACUCUGGACAAAGCUCGGAAGUGGAUUCAAAAAGGACUCAUCAUCUGCCAGGCCAGAGAGCCCUCUCAGCGCUUGGUAGUGUUGUCAGUGGGUGGUGGUGGGUGGCGCGCUUAUCAGCCUACGUAGAGGCUCCCCAUGCCCGCUGCGAUAAGAAAUAGGCGGAACCGCCCGUCCAGGUGCUUGCUAUUAUCAUGGGGUGCAUUACCAGUACAAGUAAGCUGAACGAACUGCGCGGCCACGAAAACGUUUUUCGAGUGCGGGUGGCCCAUCUGCAGCCCUCCCCUGGUACGCCCACCAUUCGCAGCGGGUACCUGGAGCUGACGCCGCGGGAACUGAUCUUCCAAUCGCCCGGCUGCGAACCAAUUAUAUGGGCUUUGCAGCAUCUCAGACGCUAUGGUCUUAACGCCGACCUCUUUUCAUUUGAAGCGGGUCGCAGAUGCAUGUCUGGGCCCGGAAUAUACACCUUCAGGGUUCAAAAUGCCGAGCUGCUUUAUCCUAUGUUCCAACGCUACAUCAAUGCCGUGAAUACAGAUGCUUUUGCUCAGGUGGAAAGGGAUCGCGUAAACUCCACUCACUCGGUGUCCACGAUGAUGGGCCGUGCGGAUGGAAACCCACACAGUAACAACUACUUGGAGCCGGCUCCACUGAUUAGUCGACAGCUUGGAAGUUCCAUGAGCGAUGCUCCGCAUCCCAGUGCUUUGCAUUUGCUGCAGGCCAAUGAUAGCCAAUCAGAUGACACUCCACCUAAUCUACAGUCUCCUGGUCUGAUUCCUAACGCCUAUUUCGAUCAGCCUUUGAGAACACUACAGGAGUGUUGCCUUGAUGGGACCUCUCCGGAUCUGCAGGCCACCCCACCUUCUGGGAACAGAUUGAGCUCACGUCGGCGUACUCUGGAUUUGCCGCCCCAGGAAUCGGCACCUCCGCCGGCACCAGUUUUAAGUCCCAAUGAAUCCGUGCACAUGUACGCCAAUGUUGAGGCCAUGAUCUUCGAUUUAAGCAACGAGCGUUGUUAUGAGAACGUAAAUCGACUGGAACUGCCGAUCUCUGUACCGUCGAGGGAGUCAAUCGCACCACAAGAGCCAGCUACACCGACCAGUUUGGCGGGUAGCAGUGGCGUAAACUACAUUGUCUUGGAUCUGGAUCAGCCCAAAAGUCCUGCACCUCCGUCUGGAUCGCCAAAAACCUUUAACGGCUUUGGCAGUGGAUUGUCUUUGGUUUCAACGAAAGCAGCUGUUACUGCUCCUGUUACUCCGGAGGCUAGUUUGGCGCUCGACGUACCCCCGGCUCCGAAUCAAACCCAGAGUCUAAACAGCGUAUCAGCUGCGGCCGCCAAUGAUGCUGGGGAGCCGACGUCGAACCGAAACUCUGAAUGCUCAGGAACCCAAGGAUACUCCACUAUUGAUUUCAUUCGCACAUACGCAUUGAACAAAUCCUCGACAGAGCUGCCGGAACAGGUAACCCACCGACAGCAUCCUGCACACGAGGCUGAGGAGCUGAGGAUCACCAGACACAGCAAGUGCAUUCGAAAAGCGUACUCCAUUAGCGAGUGAGUUGAGAUGAUGGCACAAUUCAAAGCAAAGGGCACAACGAAUUUAUAAAAACAAGGUCACCCAAAACAAUUCCAGAAUUUGAGGGAACUAGAUUGCCAAUUAUUUAAGAAUCUGUUAUAAGCAGAAAAUUGGAACUUCUUCUAUGAGAAAACAAAGAAAUAACGAAAAGGUUUUCGAAAAUGUGCAGCACAACGAAUUAACCACAAUCGAUGAUAUUGAGGAUGGAAUUAUUUAGAUUGUGGUUCUGUGGAAUUGAAGUGAUUUGCCAAAGAGUUGUUUUGCUUCCCUCUGAGCCAAACAAACAACAAACAAUAUUAAAUCCAGGUUGUUUUAGUAGUCAGUACUACCCUCACACGCAGACAUGACUUGCAUACGUACUUAGUUUAGUUGUUUAAGGAUAGGUAAUAGCGUUCAUUAGAGAUUAGAUGAGAUGAUUUGUGUACGUGCCAGCGGCUGUUAAAACUAGUCAUUUUUUGGAUUUUUGUGCAAAUUUAUCAUAGUGAGCAACACGAAAGGCUUUUAAAAUUUAAAUUGUAAAUGGUAUCCUAAGUAUCGUUAGAUUCUAAGUACCAAUAUAUACAUUUGCGUACACUUAAACAUAAUUGUGUACGAUCGUUGUUGGCCAAGGCUUUAUAAUUGUAUUUUGUUGCAACAAAAAGAAAAGAAAACAAAACGAUGGCAGCAAGCAUUGCAUUGCGUUGCAUUGUCCGCUGUGAGUUUCUAAUUUUUUACAUAAAUAUAUAUACUGCUAAAUUGUUAACCCCAGUUGUUAGGAAUAUUAUAUACACUGAUUGUCAAGCGGAGCAUUCAUCCUUGGAGGAGGUUUGAAUAAUUCGACCGAGGAUUUUUGCAGUUGCAUAUAGAUUUACAUACAUACUUACGCUGGCGGCUCAGUCCGUGGCAUAAACUAUAUUAUUGUUAGUGUCUAAGACGAAAUAUGUGCAAUAAAACUCAAAUGAUCUUGUAACUGUAUCUUUUAAAUACUGGACAACGAAAAACAUCUCUAUUUUUGAUUGUUUGAAAGC